AAAAAGAUAAGCUAAGCAAGCUAAUGGGUUCAUACCCCGUAUAUAAAGGUUUAAAUCCUUUUCUUUUUA
Molecule: transfer RNA, 69 nt
Filed under: Neochauliodes fraternus
Lineage: Eukaryota; Metazoa; Arthropoda; Insecta; Megaloptera; Corydalidae
Also listed under: 4 other names
Description: tRNA-Met
Rfam family: tRNA
About the family: Transfer RNA (tRNA) molecules are approximately 80 nucleotides in length. Their secondary structure includes four short double-helical elements and three loops (D, anti-codon, and T loops).
Source: RNAcentral